RNAcentral lists this ribosomal RNA (279 nucleotides) under uncultured bacterium. RNAcentral describes it as "partial 16S ribosomal RNA". It matches the Rfam family "Bacterial small subunit ribosomal RNA", at positions 333 to 629 of the family's 1533-position model. The record is from RNAcentral.
GUGUCCCUACGGGAGGCAGCAGUGGGGAAUAUUGCACAAUGGGCGAAAGCCUGAUGCAGCGACGCCGCGUGAGCGAAGAAGUAUUUCGGUAUGUAAAGCUCUAUCAGCAGGGAAGAAAAUGACGGUACCUGACUAAGAAGCCCCGGCUAACUACGUGCCAGCAGCCGCGGUAAUACGUAGGGGGCAAGCGUUAUCCGGAUUUACUGGGUGUAAAGGGAGCGUAGACGGCAGUGCAAGUCUGGAGUGAAAGCCUGGGGCUCAACCCCGGAACUGCUUUGG